Molecule: long non-coding RNA, 564 nt
Filed under: Elaeis guineensis (African oil palm)
Lineage: Eukaryota; Viridiplantae; Streptophyta; Magnoliopsida; Arecales; Arecaceae
Description: long non-coding RNA (EGUI_LNC042719)
Source: RNAcentral
CUACAGUUUCUCUAGGAAAGUCCAGGAUAACAAUUGAUGUAGCUAUUAAGUAGAAGAGUGUCUACAACAAACUCCAAGAUGGUGCCAAGGAGCAAGCAAAGAUCUUCAGCUAUGGAGACGGUCAUCCCAAAGGUCUCCAAAGGAGCUCAGAAGCUGAGAACGGUUGGUAAUGGCAAAGAUGUUCACAUAAGGGGCUGUUCAGGUAUGCAGUGAUAAUGGGAUCAUGUAGGUGGAUAUUGCCAAGUGUGUCAAGGCUUGGGGGCAUCAAGGUGGAGAUUGUAGGAGUUAGUGUGGUGCUUCCAAGCCUUGGGAGGCCACAAGAGAGGAGUUAGGGUAUUCAGUCUGAGAGACUAGGACAGGUGUGGUCUUAGGGCUAAGACAGGAGUGGUUCUAGGGUGGAGGCAGUGUGUAGCUCUCCACAGACUUGAGGUCCAAGUGUUGAGGAUCUUAAGAGGCUUGGUUGGUGCUCCAGAGACUUGGGGACACAAGGUGGAGCAAGAAAUUAGAGCCAAGGCUGAAGACUGCAGAAAAGAGUAAUGUGGAACAAUUUAGAUCUAAAGGAAG